UGGGGAAUAUUGCGCAAUGGGGGCAACCCUGACGCAGCAAUACCGCGUGAGUGAAGAAGGUUUUCGGAUCGUAAAGCUCUGUUAUUGGGGAAGAAAACAUGACGGUACCCAAUGAGGAAGUCCCGGCUAACUACGUGCCAGCAGCCGCGGUAAUACGUAGGGGACAAGCGUUGUCCGGAAUGACUGGGCGUAAAGGGCGCGUAGGCGGUCUAUUAAGUCUGAUGUGAAAGGUACCGGCUCAACCGGUGAAGUGCAUUGGAAACUGGUAGACUUGAGUAUUGGAGAGGCAAGUGGAAUUCCUAGUGUAGCGGUGAAAUGCGUAGAUAUUAGGAGGAACACCAGUGGCGAAGGCGGCUUGCUGGACAAAUACUGACGCUGAGGUGCGAAAGCGUGGGGAGCGAACA
RNAcentral lists this ribosomal RNA (404 nucleotides) under uncultured bacterium. RNAcentral's name for it is "bacterial SSU rRNA". It matches the Rfam family "Bacterial small subunit ribosomal RNA", at positions 355 to 774 of the family's 1533-position model. The record is from RNAcentral.